Molecule: ribosomal RNA, 447 nt
Filed under: bacterium DAZ3002
Lineage: Bacteria
Description: bacterial SSU rRNA
Rfam family: Bacterial small subunit ribosomal RNA
Source: RNAcentral
GAUGAACGCUGGCGGCGUGCUUAACACAUGCAAGUCGAACGAAGCAGUUUAUCACGAUCCCUUCGGGGUGACGAUUUACUGACUGAGUGGCGGACGGGUGAGUAACGCGUGGGUAACCUGCCUUGUACAGGGGGACAACAGUUGGAAACGACUGCUAAUACCGCAUAAGCGCACNNUGUUGCAUGACACAGUGUGAAAAGAUUUAUCGGUACAAGAUGGACCCGCGUCUGAUUAGCUAGUUGGUGAGGUAACGGCCCACCAAGGCGACGAUCAGUAGCCGACCUGAGAGGGUGACCGGCCACAUUGGGACUGAGACACGGCCCAAACUCCUACGGGAGGCAGCAGUGGGGAAUAUUGCACAAUGGGCGAAAGCCUGAUGCAGCGACGCCGCGUGAGCGAAGAAGUAUUUCGGUAUGUAAAGCUUAUCAGCAGGGAAGAUAAUGACGU